UGAGAGAGCUUUGCGUCCCAUUAGCUAGUUGGAGAGGUAACAGCUCACCAAGGCGAUGAUGGGUAGCCGGCCUGAGAGGGUGAACGGCCACAAGGGGACUGAGACACGGCCCUUACUCCUACGGGAGGCAGCAGUGGGGAAUAUUGGACAAUGGACCGAGAGUCUGAUCCAGCAAUUCUGUGUGCACGAUGAAGUUUUUCGGAAUGUAAAGUGCUUUCAGUUGGGAAGAAAUAAAUGACGGUACCAACAGAAGAAGUGACGGCUAAAUACGUGCCAGCAGCCGCGGUAAUACGUAUGUCACGAGCGUUAUCCGGAUUUAUUGGGCGUAAAGCGCGUCUAGGUGGUUAUGUAAGUCUGAUGUGAAAAUGCAGAGCUCAACUCUGUAUUGCGUUGGAAACUGUAUAACUAGAGUACUGGAGAGGUAAGCGGAACUACAAGUGUAGAGGUGAAAUUCGUAGAUAUUUGUAGGA
RNAcentral lists this ribosomal RNA (470 nucleotides) under uncultured Fusobacteriota bacterium. Its description in RNAcentral is "bacterial SSU rRNA". It matches the Rfam family "Bacterial small subunit ribosomal RNA", at positions 221 to 705 of the family's 1533-position model. Lineage: Bacteria; Fusobacteriati; Fusobacteriota. The record is from RNAcentral.